RNAcentral lists this ribosomal RNA (1375 nucleotides) under uncultured bacterium. Its description in RNAcentral is "bacterial SSU rRNA". It matches the Rfam family "Bacterial small subunit ribosomal RNA", at positions 18 to 1392 of the family's 1533-position model. The record is from RNAcentral.
CCUGGCUCAGGAUGAACGCUAGCGACAGGCUUAACACAUGCAAGUCGAGGGGCAGCACAGGUAGCAAUACCGGGUGGCGACCGGCGCACGGGUGAGUAACGCGUAUGCAACUUACCUAUCAGAGGGGGAUAACCCGGCGAAAGUCGGACUAAUACCGCAUGAAGCAGGGGCCCCGCAUGGGGAUAUUUGCUAAAGAUUCAUCGCUGAUAGAUAGGCAUGCGUUCCAUUAGGCAGUUGGCGGGGUAACGGCCCACCAAACCGACGAUGGAUAGGGGUUCUGAGAGGAAGGUCCCCCACAUUGGUACUGAGACACGGACCAAACUCCUACGGGAGGCAGCAGUGAGGAAUAUUGGUCAAUGGGCGUAAGCCUGAACCAGCCAAGUCGCGUGAGGGAUGAAGGUUCUAUGGAUCGUAAACCUCUUUUAUAAGGGAAUAAAGUGUAGGACGUGUCUAUUUUGUAUGUACCUUAUGAAUAAGGAUCGGCUAACUCUGUGCCAGCAGCCGCGGUAAUACGGAGGAUCCGAGCGUUAUCCGGAUUUAUUGGGUUUAAAGGGUGCGUAGGCGGCCUUUUAAGUCAGCGGUGAAAGUCUGUGGCUCAACCAUAGAAUUGCCGUUGAAACUGGGAGGCUUGAGUAUGUUUGAGGCAGGCGGAAUGCGUGGUGUAGCGGUGAAAUGCUUAGAUAUCACGCAGAACCCCGAUUGCGAAGGCAGCCUGCCAAGCCAUGACUGACGCUGAUGCACGAAAGCGUGGGGAUCAAACAGGAUUAGAUACCCUGGUAGUCCACGCAGUAAACGAUGAUCACUAGCUGUUUGCGAUACAGUGUAAGCGGCACAGCGAAAGCGUUAAGUGAUCCACCUGGGGAGUACGCCGGCAACGGUGAAACUCAAAGGAAUUGACGGGGGCCCGCACAAGCGGAGGAACAUGUGGUUUAAUUCGAUGAUACGCGAGGAACCUUACCCGGGUUUGAACGCAUUCGGACCGAGGUGGAAACACCUUUUCUAGCAAUAGCCGUUUGCGAGGUGCUGCAUGGUUGUCGUCAGCUCGUGCCGUGAGGUGUCGGCUUAAGUGCCAUAACGAGCGCAACCCUUGCCACUAGUUACUAACAGGUGAUGCUGAGGACUCUGGUGGGACUGCCAGCGUAAGCUGCGAGGAAGGCGGGGAUGACGUCAAAUCAGCACGGCCCUUACAUCCGGGGCGACACACGUGUUACAAUGGCGUGGACAAAGGGAGGCCACCUGGCGACAGGGAGCGAAUCCCCAAACCACGUCUCAGUUCGGAUCGGAGUCUGCAACCCGACUCCGUGAAGCUGGAUUCGCUAGUAAUCGCGCAUCAGCCAUGGCGCGGUGAAUACGUUCCCGAGCGUUGUACACACCG